Otolemur garnettii (small-eared galago) is the source of this 107-nucleotide small nuclear RNA. The record is from Ensembl. Lineage: Eukaryota; Metazoa; Chordata; Mammalia; Primates; Galagidae.
GUGCUCGCUUCAGCAGCACAUAUACUAAAAUUGGAAUGAUAUAGAGAAGAUUAGCAUGGCCCCUGCACAAGGAUGACAUGCAAAUUCGUGAAGUGUUCCAUAUUUUU